GGUAAUACGUAGGUGGCAAGCGUUGUCCGGAAUUAUUGGGCGUAAAGGGCGCGCAGGCGGCGUCGUAAGUCGGUCUUAAAAGUGCGGGGCUUAACCCCGUGAGGGGACCGAAACUGCGAUGCUAGAGUAUCGGAGAGGAAAGCGGAAUUCCUAGUGUAGCGGUGAAAUGCGUAGAUAUUAGGAGGAACACCAGUGGCGAAAGCGGCUUUCUGGACGACAACUGACGCUGAGGCGCGAAAGCCAGGGGAGCAAACGGGAUUAGAUACCCCGGUAGUCCUGGCCGUAAACGAUGGAUACUAGGUGUAGGAGGUAUCGACCCCUUCUGUGCCGGAGUUAACGCAAUAAGUAUCCCGCCUGGGGAGUACGGCCGCAAGGCUGAAACUCAAAGGAAUUGACGGGGGCCCGCACAAGCGGUGGAGUAUGUGGUUUAAUUCGACGCAACGCGAAGAACCUUACCAAGCCUUGACAUUGAUUGCUAAGGGUAGAGAUACCCUGUUUCUCUUCGGAGGACAAGAAAACAGGUGGUGCACGGCUGUCGUCAGCUCGUGUCGUGAGAUGUUGGGUUAAGUCCCGCAACGAGCGCAACCCCUAUCUUCUGUUACCAGCGGUUCGGCCGGGGACUCAGGAGAGACUGCCGCAGACAAUGCGGAGGAAGGCGGGGAUGACGUCAAGCCAUCAUGCCCCUUAUGGCUUGGGCUACACACGUACUACAAUGGCUCUUAAUAGAGGGAAGCGAAGGAGCGAUCCGGAGCAAACCCCAAAAACAGAGUCCCAGUUCGGAUUGCAGGCUGCAACCCGCCUGCAUGAAGCAGGAAUCGCUAGUAAUCGCAGGUCAGCAUACUGCGGUGAAUACGUUCCCGGGCCUUGUACACACCGCCCGUCACACCACGAAAGUCAUUCACACCCGAAGCCGGUGAGGCAACCGCAAGGAGCCAGCCGUCGAAGGUGGGGGCGAUGAUUGGGGUGAAGUCGUAACAAGGUAGCCG
This 986-nucleotide ribosomal RNA is filed under the name uncultured bacterium. RNAcentral's name for it is "bacterial SSU rRNA". It matches the Rfam family "Bacterial small subunit ribosomal RNA", at positions 519 to 1502 of the family's 1533-position model. The record is from RNAcentral.